RNAcentral lists this ribosomal RNA (292 nucleotides) under uncultured bacterium. Its description in RNAcentral is "partial 16S ribosomal RNA". The record is from RNAcentral.
GGACUACCGGGGUAUCUAAUCCUGUUUGCUCCCCUAGCUUUCGCGCCUCAGCGUCAGCCAUAGCCCAGAAAACCGUCUUCACCACCGGUGUUCCUCCACAUAUCUACGCAUUUUACCGCUACACGUGGAAUUCCGUUUUCCCUAACUAUGCUCUAGCCCGAUAGUUUCGAAUGCGGGUUCACAGUUGAGCCGUGAAAUUUCACAUCCGACUUGUCAGGCCGCCUACGCGCCCUUUACGCCCAGUAAUUCCGAUCAAUGCUUGCACCCUCCGUAUUACCGCGGCUGCUGGCAC